This 253-nucleotide ribosomal RNA is filed under the name uncultured prokaryote. RNAcentral's name for it is "partial 16S ribosomal RNA". It matches the Rfam family "Bacterial small subunit ribosomal RNA", at positions 524 to 776 of the family's 1533-position model. The record is from RNAcentral.
AACGUAGGUGGCGAGCGUUAUCCGGAUUUACUGGGCGUAAAGCGUGUGCAGGUGGAUGGUUAAGUGGUGUAUGAAAUCGCCCGGCUCAACCGGGCGGGGUUAUGCCAGACUGGACAUCUAGAGCGUGGGAGAGGGAUGUGGAAUUCCGGGUGUAGUGGUGAAAUGCGUAGAGAUCCGGAGGAACCCCAGAGGCGAAGGCGGCAUCCUGGCCCACGACUGACACUCAGACACGACAGCAUGGGGAGCGAACGGG